GUGGGGAAUAUUGCACAAUGGGGGGAACCCUGAUGCAGCGACGCCGCGUGAGUGAAGAAGUAUUUCGGUAUGUAAAGCUCUAUCAGCAGGGAAGAAAAUGACGGUACCUGACUAAGAAGCCCCGGCUAACUACGUGCCAGCAGCCGCGGUAAUACGUAGGGGGCAAGCGUUAUCCGGAUUUACUGGGUGUAAAGGGAGCGUAGACGGUUAUGCAAGUCUGAAGUGAAAGCCCAAGGCUCAACCAUGGGACUGCUUUGGAAACUGUAAAACUGGAGUGCAGGAGAGGUAAGCGGAAUUCCUAGUGUAGCGGUGAAAUGCGUAGAUAUUAGGAGGAACACCAGUGGCGAAGGCGGCUUACUGGACUGUAACUGACGUUGAGGCUCGAAGGCGUGGGGAGCAAACAGG
Molecule: ribosomal RNA, 405 nt
Filed under: uncultured bacterium
Lineage: Bacteria
Description: bacterial SSU rRNA
Rfam family: Bacterial small subunit ribosomal RNA
Source: RNAcentral